Molecule: RNA transcript, 1953 nt
Organism: Sander lucioperca (pikeperch)
Lineage: Eukaryota; Metazoa; Chordata; Actinopteri; Perciformes; Percidae
Gene name: dual specificity protein phosphatase 19-like
Exons: 6
Source: RefSeq, a predicted model, not a curated record
ACUGCCAGCUUAGCGGUGGUUAGCUUAGCCAGCAGACGCCGCCAUUACCAGCAGACGUUAGCUAGCUAUUAACGCUACUGCAGGCCUCAAGCUUUGCCGAUUUCACUUCAGGGAGCUUACUUUCACAGUUUCAGUUGGAUUUUAAUUGACAGACAUUUACUAUACUGUUAACAAUAAGUCUACAUGUGUCCUUAAUCCAACUGAAAAUCCGUUUACAUCGUAAAACAAAUGGGCCACUUUACCGCAAGCUAACGCGACAGCUUGUGGCUAGCAGUGCUUGUUUCCAGGGAUGCUAAGGGGACACAUUUAGGAUAACACAGCUGAGUCCUGUAAACCCCGGCGUGAUGCAUUCGCUGGCUCAGGAGAUCCAGGGCUUCUCCAAAAACCGUCUGAAGAAACAGUGCACGUGUGUUACCACGGUGACAGACAGGAGGCUUCUGGAGAGGAGGGGUGAUGGAGGAGAGGGAGAUGAGCAGGUUGAAGAGCUGGAAGAGGAAGGUGGAUGCGGAUUUGUAGAAGAUAAAAGUCUGGACCUUCAAGUUGGUGUCGUUAGACCCUUCCUACUGCUGGCCUCUCAGGAUGCAGCCCACGACAUUGAUACCCUGCAGAGAUUUAAGGUGUCUCAUGUGCUAAAUGUGGCCUACGGAGUGACUAACCUGUUCCCAGAUCAGUUGAUUUAUAAGACGCUGCAGAUCCUGGACCUCCCAGACACUGACAUCACUUCAUAUGUCGGGGAAUGCACCUCCUUCAUAGAUCAGGCCCGAGAACAGGACGGUGUGGUGCUGGUCCACUGUAACGCGGGCGUAUCACGCUCUUCCUCCGUUGUCAUUGGCUACUUGAUGUUGAGGGAGGGGCUUUCGUUUGAUGAUGCAUACAGCCAGGUGAAAGUGGCAAGGCCCUCAAUUUGCCCCAACCCUGGCUUCUACCAGCAACUAAAGGGUUACAAACCUUAAAGCUGCAUUCACUAUUUUUUGUCCACUUAGGAAACACAACACAUAGACAUAUAUAUUACAUAUCAUGGAACCUUAAUACAAUAUGGUGACCAAAAGGUUGCUUAUUUACACAUGCAAGCUCAAUAUUCACUCUUCUUUUAGCUCUGUUUUGUUCCCCACCAACUCCUGAGGGAAAUAUCUGGAUCUUUAGCUGCUAAAUGCUCCACUGCGUUCACCAGCUAGUCUCUAAUUGUGUCUGUGUUCUGUUUGGUGCUAAACAGGUUGCGUACAGUGGGUUUUUACAGCUUUUUCACUGAAAGCAGCUGCCUUAAGAGUGAACCAAAACAGGAAAGUUGCGGGCCGUGUAACCAAAACAUCGAGCUGAAAGAGGCUUAAAGGGGAACUGCGGAUUUGGUGAUAAUUCUCUUUUCCCACUACACAUAAUAAUUUGAUCCAUUUUAAUGUAAAAAUACUGGUAAGUGCUGCUUCAAGGAACUACAAAUCUGUUCUUCAACUUGAGAAGAAGCCUUACAAAACUACAACACCACCGUGUAGCACCACAAUUGUAUUGUUGUACCAAAAGCUGUAGGGCUUUAUGUUUGCUUUUCUCUUACCUGUGAUAAACAAUAUUCUGAAAACCACCCUGCUGUUUGCCUGCUUUUAUUUUGUUAUUAUGUUUUAUUAUCAAACCUAAGAAAAAAUUCAAUAAAAUAUAUCAAAUUGCAGCAGGAAGAUAUUUAAACAUUUUAAUGACUCCCUAAACAAUGAUUUUGUUUCUUGAAAGAAAUGCAACACAGAAAUAAUGUGAUAAUGUAUUCACGUAUAUGUAUGUGUGUAUGCAUGUGUUGAAUGGGUCAUUUGUCUAAAAAUAGAGCUAGUAAAUUAAAAACUGUGUCUGUUUUUCAUUCCACAGUACUAAAAGUGUUUGAGUGUCUGAUUACCUACUGGAUCCAUUUAUUUUAGAGGCACUUGUUUUCUUUGCAUUAUAGCUUGUUUUCUAAUUAAAGACGUACCACUUUUU